Molecule: transfer RNA, 77 nt
Filed under: Rothia dentocariosa
Lineage: Bacteria; Bacillati; Actinomycetota; Actinomycetes; Micrococcales; Micrococcaceae
Description: tRNA-Arg(tct)
Rfam family: tRNA
About the family: Transfer RNA (tRNA) molecules are approximately 80 nucleotides in length.
Source: RNAcentral
UGCCUCAGUAGCUCAGAGGAUAGAGCAGGAGCCUUCUAAUCUCUUGGUCGGGGGUUCGAUUCCCUCCUGGGGUACCC